AGUCGAGGGGUAUGGUUCUUCGGAACCAGAGACCGGCGCACGGGUGCGUAACGCGUAUGCAAUCUACCUUUUACAGAGGGAUAGCCCAGAGAAGUUUGGAUUAAUACCUCAUAGCAUAGCAGCUUCGCAUGAAGCCACUAUUAAAGUCACAACGGUAAAAGAUGAGCAUGCGUCCCAUUAGCUAGUUGGUAAGGUAACGGCUUACCAAGGCUACGAUGGGUAGGGGUCCUGAGAGGGAGAUCCCCCACACUGGUACUGAGACACGGACCAGACUCCUACGGGAGGCAGCAGUGAGGAAUAUUGGACAAUGGGCGCAAGCCUGAUCCAGCCAUGCCGCGUGCAGGAUGACGGUCCUAUGGAUUGUAAACUGCUUUUGUACAGGAAGAAACAGUUCUACGUGUAGAACCUUGACGGUACUGUAAGAAUAAGGAUCGGCUAACUCCGUGCCAGCAGCCGCGGUAAUACGGAGGAUCCAAGCGUUAUCCGGAAUCAUUGGGUUUAAAGGGUCCGUAGGCGGUUUAGUAAGUCAGUGGUGAAAGCCCAUCGCUCAACGGUGGAACGGCCAUUGAUACUGCUAGACUUGAAUUAUUAGGAAGUAACUAGAAUAUGUAGUGUAGCGGUGAAAUGCUUAGAGAUUACAUGGAAUA
RNAcentral lists this ribosomal RNA (647 nucleotides) under uncultured Bacteroidota bacterium. RNAcentral's name for it is "bacterial SSU rRNA". It matches the Rfam family "Bacterial small subunit ribosomal RNA", at positions 60 to 708 of the family's 1533-position model. Lineage: Bacteria; Pseudomonadati; Bacteroidota. The record is from RNAcentral.